RNAcentral lists this ribosomal RNA (312 nucleotides) under Notocera sp. CPL-2004d. RNAcentral's name for it is "partial 12S small subunit ribosomal RNA". The record is from RNAcentral. Lineage: Eukaryota; Metazoa; Arthropoda; Insecta; Hemiptera; Membracidae.
UUUGAAUAAAAGUAGUUAAGUUCUUCAUAACUCAAAGAAUUUGGCGGUUAAUUUUAUUUUUAGAGGAACCUGUAAUUUAAUUGAUAAACCACGAUAAAUUCAACCACUUUUUAGCUUGUAUACCUCUAUGGUUAUGGAUGUUUUUUAUAAAUAUUUUCUUUAAGAUUAAUUCUUUUAUUUUAGGUCAAGGUGCAGUUUUAUUUUGGUAAUUAUGGGUUACAUUAAUUUUUAAUUUUUAUUAAUUUAAUUUUUAUAAUUUAAUUUAUAUUGGAUUUAAAAGUAAAUUUGAUUAAUUAAUUUUUUUGAAUUUUA